RNAcentral lists this ribosomal RNA (468 nucleotides) under uncultured bacterium. RNAcentral's name for it is "partial 16S ribosomal RNA". It matches the Rfam family "Bacterial small subunit ribosomal RNA", at positions 28 to 507 of the family's 1533-position model. The record is from RNAcentral.
GACGUACGCUGGCGGCGUGCUUAACACAUGCAAGUCGAACGGAAAGGCCCUGCUUUUGUGGGGUGCUCGAGUGGCGAACGGGUGAGUAACACGUGAGUAACCUGCCCUUGACUUUGGGAUAACUUCAGGAAACUGGGGCUAAUACCGGAUAGGAGCUCCUGCUGCAUGGUGGGGGUUGGAAAGUUUCGGCGGUUGGGGAUGGACUCGCGGCUUAUCAGCUUGUUGGUGGGGUAGCGGCUUACCAAGGCUUUGACGGGUAGCCGGCCUGAGAGGGUGACCGGCCACAUUGGGACUGAGAUACGGCCCAGACUCCUACGGGAGGCAGCAGUGGGGAAUAUUGCACAAUGGGCGGAAGCCUGAUGCAGCAACGCCGCGUGCGGGAUGACGGCCUUCGGGUUGUAAACCGCUUUCGCCUGUGACGAAGCGUGAGUGACGGUAAUGGGUAAAGAAGCACCGGCUAACUACGUG